This 13045-nucleotide long non-coding RNA is filed under the name Malus domestica (apple). RNAcentral's name for it is "long non-coding RNA (MDOM_LNC018296)". The record is from RNAcentral. Lineage: Eukaryota; Viridiplantae; Streptophyta; Magnoliopsida; Rosales; Rosaceae.
AAGCACAGCAGAAGCAACUGAGCUGCCCUGGCAGCUCUGAAAAGCAGAAAAAGAAAAUAAAAAGGAGAGGUCAGCGUGAGCCUCGGGGAGACAGCAGAAAUAGGGCAGCGGGGAGAGAGGCGAACGUGGAAAGGAAAGCAGAAGAAGAAGGCGCAGGGGAGAGGACUGAGCAAGCUGCCUUGCGCAGCGUGAGCCUCGGGGAGGAGAAAAACAGAAGCAGCAAGCUGCCUUCUCUCUCGGUUAAAUCUUUCCAAACUUAUAUUUUAUUUCUAUUUUAAUAAUGUGUAACUAAAUUUAUUUUGGCUAGAGGUUAAUUCAAAGCCAUGAAUAUAUUUGUAAUAUGAAUUGAUUACCUUCAGUUGUGAUUUCUGAGUUGUGAUUUAAUUUGCUUAACUGCUUGAUUGAUAACUUAUUUUUGUAUGUCGAUUAAGAAUGCAUACUUAAUUUACAUGCAUGAAUUUGAUGCUAGAAUAUAAGUGAAUUUCACCUAAUCGUUAUGAAUUUAUAUUCACAAGUAGUGAAGGUUGUUAUCCACAAUCGUGUUAAGUGAAUUCUAGGCUGGAUUAACAUGCGUAUUCCAUAGUUAUGAAUGCCUAGUCAAUGUUUAUGAUUUCCGUUGAACUUAAUGAUCUUUGUUGAAUGUCUCUAUCAUGCGUAUUCCAUAGUUAGGGACUUUGAUGAGGAAUAAUUUGGUUGUAAUGCGUAUUCCAUUCAAUCCAAUGAAUCUAGGGAAAUCUAAGAGUUAAUUUAAGCGGACCUAAAUAAUUUGGAACAUUGUCAUUCACAAUUUAUUGAAAGAACAACUGAAAAUCAAUUUAGGUUGCAUAUGUGUCAUGUGUGGAGAAAAACCCUCUAGCUAGUCCGUCAUCUAUCCUUUCACCUUAAUUUCAUGCUUUUGUCAAUUCUGUAAUAUAUUUAAGUUUAAUUUACUUCUCGUCAAUACCAAACCCCCCCCCCAUUAUUAAAUUAUAUUAUUUAGUUAGUUUUCAUUGUUGUUAGUCUUUUAAUUCAAUUUCCGUCCAUUUCAAUUCCUAGUGUCUAAUUUGAUUGUUUUCAUUAUUUUGAGUCAUUUUAAGUGUGUUUCGAGUUAUUAGAGUUUUUAGCCUAGUUUUGUGUCCUUGAGUCUUGUUUAAUAUUUUUUACAUUAAUUUAGAAUAGAUUAGCAAUCCCUCCUAAUCCCCGGCCUAGAACGAUACCCUACUUACAUCUAUACUACAAUUGUCAACAAGAGGGUUUAAUUUGUGUGCUUAUAAUAUUUCGCAUCACAUUUUGGCGCCGUUGCCGGGGAUUAGCAACUUUGCUAAUCCAUUGGUUCUUUUCUUUUUGUUUAGUUUGUUUUUGUUUUAGUUUCUGACUUAGUUUUGUUUUCCUUGUUUUGUGUUACUUUUGAUAUUUGAUUUAGUUUUCUUUGAUUUCAGGGUCUAGAGAAGUAAGACAUGGAUUUUGCUAACAUUCAAGCUCAAUUGGCGAAUCUUACUUCUCAAUUGUCACAGAUUGCCGGAAGGACUACAAUGCAAAAUGUCCCUACAUUUGGUGUGUCUUAUGGGCACGGAUAUCAAACUCAUCAACAUCCUCAAUUCACUGUGAACGAAGAUGCUUGGGGUUAUCAAGGCUAUGAUCAACCAAGCAACAACAUGUUUUCCAACGCUUACAAUUCGGCUUGGAGAGAUCAUUCAAAUUAUAUGUGGGAGGAACCUCAACAAUUCCAACAAAAUGGAUAUUGGCAGCAAGAGGAGGAGUUCUAUUCAAAACCUAUGCAAUAUGCUCAAUCAAACUCAGGUUCGUCAAUAGAUUACAAUCAAAUUUUUGAUGAAUUAAAUUCUUUGGUGCAGGGCUCAAAAAUCAAGCCAAUGAGGCUCAACAAGAUGGAUAUUGGCAGCAAUCUGAGGAGUUUUAUUUAACGCCUAUGCAGCCACCACCGCAUACCCCACAACAAUUCCAAUCAAAUUCAAGUAUGUCCAUGGAUAGUGAUCAAAUUCUUCAAGUACUAACCUCUUUGACGCAGGACCAACAAAAUCAAGACAAGAAGUUGGAUAAAUUGAUGAGUCAAAUGGGAGAGAUUAUGGAAUUCAUGGUACAAAUUCAAGAGCAAAGUGAACUCUCCAGCUCAACUGUUGAAAAUUCGAAGGAAGAUUUGAAAUCCACGAUGCUAUCACUUUGGAAGGUGACAUGAAGGAUGAAGCUGUCCCAGAACCAUCCAAAAACAGCCCGAACAUGGAUGAAUUGCUGCUGCAAGCAGAAGAGGAGGAGGACUACCUGGGCAGUUUAGAAGAAUUCUUGCUGCAAGCUCCUCAAAUCCAUAUGUCAUCCAACUCAGGUGAGGAAGUUCUAAAUUCACUUCAUUCUAACAUUAUUCCACCGAAUGUCCUUUGUCCUUGCAGGUUUUUGAUUCCAAAUAUCAAAGAGAGUGAAAAAGACAUUGUGGAAGCUCUUCCAAAGGUGCAAAGUGAUAUCCCAAUUCUUGGUGCACUAAAACAAGUUCCUGAUGGUAUUGAAACGUUCAAAGAACCUUGCACACCAAGAAAAGGGAUUCAAGAGAAUGAAGUGGUUGAAGCAUAUCAAGAAUACAUCCAAGAGGUUAUGCAUGAGACAAUCAAGCCCAAAGCAGUUGAGUUUGAUGACACGGGACAAGCCACAACCAUCAUAGUAAACCUGGCCCAGUUCAAAGUCCCGGAAAUGUUCAAAGAUGUGGUGUUUGUCAUUGAGUUUGUGUCGGAAAAAGAAAGUAAGCCAUCUUCUCCAAUUUCAAUUUUAAUUUAUACUAACAUGUUCUGAUUUUGAUGAUUCAGGCACCCACUCUUGAAUUUAAACCAUUGCCGAAUCAUUUCAAGUAUCACCUCCCAUUAAAAGAUAAAUUCCAUGCUUUGGAGCCGAGUGGAGUUUAAAGGAAAGAUUCGUCCGGCUAAAGACGUUAAAUCAAGCGCUUCUUGGGAGGCAACCCAAGCAUUCAACGAAGGGAGAUUUUGGAAUCGCUACCAAAUCAGAUUUGCAUUCUUACACCCUUAUCUUUACUGCUUUCAUUUUGUUUUGUUCAGUUAGUUGUGUUAUUUGGUUGAUUUCUGUGAGUUUGUGUUAUUUAGUUUAAGUGUGGGGGAAGGUUAAACAAAGUUUUUUUUUUACAUUGAUUUACAUAUUUUACAUUGAUUUAAAAAAAAAAACAAAACAAAACACACCAAAAAAAAAAUAAUAAAAAUAAAAUAACAUUAAAGUAAAAAUAUUUUACAAUGAUGUGUAAACUAAUAGCAUUCAUUGGUCAGGUGGUGCUUCAGUAGUCGGCGGAGCUUCAGUAGUCGGCGGAGGUUGAUCAGUUGGAGCUUCACUACGCGGUGCCGCCCCAGAAGACGAAGGCAGAUGCGGUUAGAACAAACCCACAAACCUCCGGUGAUCAAGUAAAAUCUGACCAUCAUUUUCCUGCAACUGGUCAAUUUUCCUCUUCAUGUUUGUGGCAUAAUUGUGUGCAAGCUUGUGCAAUUGUUUAUUUUCAUGCUUGAGUCCUCUAAUCUCCUCUUUGAGACUCUGUAUUUCAGCCACCAACGAUUCGACGUGACGGGUUCGAGCAAAUAGGCGUUGGGCCAUGUUGGACACAGAACCCGCACACUGCACGCUAAGAGCCAGAGACUCCUUAACCGCCAAUUCAUCAGACCGUCUAGCGAGCAGUCUGUUAUCUCUGGGGGUGACAAGGUUUCGGGCCACCACCGCAGCUGUCAUUUCAUUUUUCAUCACCGAAUCCCCCACGGUAAGGGGACCGGUAGGGGAUAUGAAGGAUGGGCGCCAUAUGUUGUCUGGUGAAGGCGGAGCUGCCUCUUCACCAAUGUUCAAGUCAAAACGACGAUCGGAAGGGCCAGACAUUUUUCAGAAUGGUAAAGAAAGAAGAGAUCGGACAGAUUAAGAUUUUGGAAGUGCAAGAAGGGAGUGUUUAUAGGAGAGAGCUCAAGUGUGUGUGGAACAAAAUUAACGCCUCUAUAAAAAGAAGAAAUCAAAGAGGCGCUCCUCAGAAAUCGAAGAAGCGUCAUCUCGCAAAUGGAAGAGUCGGGGCUCCUUUCUCAAAAGUCGGAUUCUUUUCUCAAAAGAGGCGUUUCAUUUCUUAAAGGCUGGGCUUGCUCAAAAACCACGAGCCUAACCCCGGAUUUCAAAAGAUCAAGUUGUCCAGACGUAUCGUCACUCGUCACAUGCAACUGGCAGCUUUGCGGAAAUUACGGGCAGCUUUGUCAGAAAGCGCGUAAUUUAUACUAUUCAUCCAUCCACCGGCUGCCGACAAUGAGUGAGGGAAUAGUUCCGGUUGUGAAGAAAAGUCCUAUAAGUAUCUACCUUCGCCUUCCACAGCAAAGGCACACCCUCUCAGCACUUCUUCAUCUCUGAAAUGGCGUUCCAACAAACCCUCUCAAGUCACUCUGUAUUUUUCAUCCCCUGGGAUACCCCUGCAAACAACCCAUCCAGAGCACAAGUAUUUCAUAUCAUAAAGGUUGAGAGCACGAGUAUCUCAUAUCAUGCUUUCUCCCUGUCCUUUCUCCAGUCAGCACCUGCUCUCGAGUACUCAUCAUCUUAUGUUUUCGCUUCGUCUCUCACGUAUAAGGGAAGUGAAGAUGAUACCUCGAAGCAUGUGGAGACAACGUGCUGAUUCAUCCUCAACUAAGGACAAGGAGAAAGAGAGCAAGAGAUGGGCACUUGGAAAGAUUGAAGAAAGAAACAGACCAACACUUCUCCCUCGUGCCUGCCCGUCGUGCAGAAGAAACAAGCAGAGAAGAAUGCAGCUUGCACAAUCAUCCCAGUGGAAGGAGUCUGAGAUGAAGAACUAGAGAAGCUGCCACAUCUGCUUGGAGAACAAAUAAGGAACUGCAACAUCACCAAAGAGCAAAGCUUCGCCGUACAAUAUCAUCAAAUCAUCACUUGCAAGUAAAAAGCUAAGUGUCACCCCGUUCAAGAGGAAAGCUGUGGAAAGUCAACAAGCACGACCAAUGAUCACUUAUUAGUUCUAUUCAUUGUCUUUUAUCGUGAUUUUCAAUUUUUCGUUUGCAAUUUUUUUUACAUUUUCUUGCGUUACUUAACUGAAUUAUUUCUUUUCUUUGCAGGAAUUUUUGAUUAUUUCCACCCUUGAAGUUGAUUGCAGAAUUUUAGCUUGGGGGGGUCAUCGCUUGGUUUUACUGCAAACUAGGGAAGUUUUCAGUCCAAUUGUUUUAUUUUGUUUCUUAUUAUUUUUAUUUGCAUUAUAGUGUUUUCUGACAUUGGGGACAAUGUCCAGUUUAAGUUUGGGGGUAAAGAGUAUAAAAAUGACCAAAUUGAAAUUUUUUUUCUACCUUCAACUACGAACGAGUUUCAUUUGUUUCCAUGUUGUUGCUUUUUGUUUUCUUUAAAAAAAAAAAAAAAAAUUUAAAAAAAAAAUCGGAAAAUUUAAAAAUCCAAAAAUAUUGUCUUGUUUCCCUUAUUGUUUUGAAUUAGAUUUUUGUUAGUUUCCAGACCCAAUGAUAUAAUUGGAUCAAAUUUGAACCAUGAUCAUCAAGAACUUAGUUAACAUGUGUUUUGUGAAAUUCCUAAUUCUCUUGUUAGUUUUGUACAUGUUUGACCAUCUUUGAAAAACCAAAUGCACAUAGCCUUGUUAAUGUGAAACUAAAGUAUGACUUAAAGCUUCAUAUGUGAAUUUAGUGACCAUAUACAUCCUAUGUGAGUUUUUGAGCCGAUUGAAAGUGUGUGCAUUUUUCAUACACUCCUAUUCUUUCAUGUGUGAUGAACUUAUGUGAGAUACAUCUCUAGAACUUGCGUAACGAUCUUUCGAAAUGUUUGUCAUUGAUUGCAUGAAUUUGGAAAUGAUAGAGGCAUUAGGUUUACCACUAUGACCCAAAUAACCAUGUUUCCCAAAUAAAAAUGAUAUCAUUAGAUUGCCAAUUUGAGCCGUGUAUAUUGAGCCUUUUAUUUCUUAUCACCAGAUAUGUCUACCCUUAUACCUGAAACAUUUUUCCUUACCCUUUCCAAGCAAGCUAGUGAGCAAUGUGAGAUUGUCUUAUGAGAAAUAUUUGUGAAGUACUUUGAAGGUGUUUGGCAAAAGAAUAAGUGUGGGGGUAUUUCAUGUUUGUAUUUAAAAAAAAAAAAAAAAAAAAAAAGAAAAAAAAAAGAAAAAGAAAAAGAAAGAUUGUAUACAAAGAAAAUAAAAAGUUUUUCAAGUUUCAGUUAAGGGUGUGGUUGGAGGUGCUAGAAGAAUCGCUGGAAAGAUUGAGUUCUUAUAAAUCUAAACAAAAGAAUUGCUUGCAAUGUAGCUUGGAACUUGUGUUUACCUAUUCUUUCAUUUCAAUAACCCUCUCCCUAAACCUCAUUACAUCCAAUAAAAGUCCUCUUGAUUUAAGUUUUGCAAUUAUGAUUGUGGAGAUGAGAUCUUUAUGCAAGCUUAUGGUAGAAAUUUCACAUUUGAUUCUUUGAGCGAAACACAUUUAAACUAAACAAAUGUGUGAUUGAGUGUAUAUCCCGUGAGAAGGUCGCUAGUUUGCAUAUGAUGAUUUUAAAAAUAAGAACUUGAAAUUACAUUAGCAUGGCUAUCUCACACACUACACUUCAAGGAUGAUUUAAAGAUUACUGCUAAUAUUUGAAUUAGGAAGAUGAACUUGGAUUAGUUCCUUGAUGCUAGCUAUGGUUCUUGAUGAUUUGUUUUCUUGAAUGAAAUUCUAUGAGGGUCACAUAGGGGGAAACUAAUAUUUUUCAUGUUAUUACUUUUUCAUGUUUUCUUUGUUUUGCUCGAGGGCUAGCAAAUGCUAAGUAUGGGGGUAUUUGAUCGGAUCAUAUUUAUAUAUAUUUUUACUUCAAAUUCACUCGUCUUUUCUUUGUUAGUUCCUUAUAUUUUUGAGCUAUUUACGUUAUUUUUGUGUUUAUAGGAUUUGUUAUGCAAAGAAAAUAAAAAUAACACAAAUGAGUUUUAAAUAAUAAAUUCGUCGAAAAUUGCUUUAGUCGUUCUCAUUCUGUCAUGGGUUAUUGGUAGAAUUAUGUCACGGCAUAAACAAAGGAAGUGGAUGGCACACAGAGAGGGGAGACAGAGAAGAGUGCGGGAUAAGAGAAAAGGAAUGCAUGAUGGAAGAAUAAAGAAAAGAACACAGAGAGGAAUAAAGCAGCAGGAAGUCAGUGUGUAAAAAAAAAUAUAAAGAAAGCAAGAAGUGGAGGACUAACGGAAAGCAGAGAAAAAAAAGAAACAGAAAUAAAUGAAAUGGGAGACACGGACUGGUGGCAUAAAAGCAAGAAAAGAAGAAUAAGAAGGGUGGAUGGCAGACUGGCAGAAAAGAUAAAAAGAUAAAGGUCAGAAGCAGGAAAUAUAAGAGGGGGAAUUGGAAGGAGGCGCGGGGAGGAUACAAGCUGCCUUUGGCAGCGUGAGAUAAACACGGGUAGAGGGACUGACAGAGAGCAGUGAGGAGCAGAAAGCACAGCAGAAGCAACUGAGCUGCCCUGGCAGCUCUGAAAAGCAGAAAAAGAAAAUAAAAAGGAGAGGUCAGCGUGAGCCUCGGGGAGACAGCAGAAAUAGGGCAGCGGGGAGAGAGGCGAACGUGGAAAGGAAAGCAGAAGAAGAAGGCGCAGGAGAGAGGACUGAGCAAGCUGCCUUGCGCAGCGUGAGCCUCGGGGAGGAGAAAAACAGAAGCAGCAAGCUGCCUUCUCUCUUGGUUAAAUCUUUCCAAACUUAUAUUUCAUUUCUAUUUUAAUAAUGUGUAACUAAAUUUAUUUUGGCUAGAGGUUAAUUCAAAGCCAUGAAUAUAUUUGUAAUAUGAAUUGAUUACCUUCAGUUGUGAUUUAUGAGUUGUGAUUUAAUUUGCUUAACUGCUUGAUUGAUAACUUAGUUUUGUAUGUCGAUUAAGAAUGCAUACUUAAUUUACAUGCAUGAAUUUGAUGCUAGAAUAUAAGUGAAUUUCACCUAAUCGUUAUGAAUUUAUAUUCACAAGUAGUGAAGGUUGUUAUCCACAAUCGUGUUAAGUGAAUUCUAGGCUGGAUUAACAUGCGUAUUCCAUAGUUAUGAAUGCCUAGUCAAUGUUUAUGAUUUCCGUUGAACUUAAUGAUCUUUGUUGAAUGUCUCUAUCAUGUGUAUUCCAUAGUUAGGGACUUUGAUGAGGAAUAAUUUGGUUGUAAUGCGUAUUCCAUUCAAUCCAAUGAAUCUAGAGAAAUCUAAGAGUUAAUUUAAGCGGACCUAAUUAAUUUGGAACAUUGUCAUUCACAAUUUAUUGAAAGAACAACUGAAAAUCAAUUUAGGUUGCAUAUGUGUCAUGUGUGGAGAAAAACCCUCUAGCUAGUCCGUCAUCUAUCCUUUCACCUUAAUUUCAUGCUUUUGUCAAUUCUGUAAUUUAUUUAAGUUUAAUUUACUUCUCGUCAAAACCAAACCCCCCCCCAAUUAUUAAAUUAUAUUAUUUAGUUAGUUUUCAUUGUUGUUAGUCUUUUAAUUCAAUUUCCGUCCAUUUCAGUUCCUAGUGUCUAAUUUGAUUGUUUUCAUUAUUUUGAGUCAUUCUAAGUGUGUUUCGAGUUAUUAGAGUUUUUAGCCUAGUUUUGUGUCCUUGAGUCUUGUUUAAUAUUUUUUAAAUUAAUUUAGAAUAGAUUAGCAAUCCCUCCUAAUCCCCGGCCUAGAACGAUACCAUACUUACAUCUAUACUACAAUUGUCAACAAGAGGGUUUAAUUUGUGUGCUUAUAAUAUUUCGCAUCAGUCCCUUUGUGAUAUUUUUGAGUUAAACUAGUUGCAUUUUACCCUCUUUUGUGUUGGUGUGUAGCUAAUCAUAUUUUGGAGAUCAGUUGAGGACAUAUAAGGAAAAAUGGGGCUAAAAGUGGAGAAUUGAAUAAGGAUGCUGAUGUAGACAAAGAAUUAAAACUGGAAACUAAAUAUGGUGAUGAAUAUGCUCCGUUACUGGGAUGUCUUGGUAUUCUAUAAUAGCCUCUUUAACCUUAUAAAACAAAGAGUUUCAGCCACUUUUACAUAAGCUUCCCCUUGGGGUGGCCCAGAGCUAUCUCUAUUCUCUUUCUUUAGCAUUUCUUCGAGAAACAAAAUCUUUUCUCCAUUCACCAUCUGUAGCCACCAAAGAAACCAUGCAGCCGUGCUAUUCUUGGAAAAGUUCAACAUCAGAAUUGCUUCAAGGGGAUUUCUUGUAUGAACUUUAAUUUCACUCAUGUUGUUCUUGAUAUUUAUAUAAUCUGUAAUCAUGUUGUGUAAUUAAGUUCAUAGCUAGGGAUUUUGAUGUAGCCUUGCAAAACUAUUCUAUGUUAUUAAGUUAAAGUAUUUGAUUCUUCAAUCUGUUUUCUUGUUUCAUUCAUUGAUUUUAUAGUUCAAUUUGUUUGUUUAUCUUAAUGUUCGAUCACCAUUAGGGUUUCUUACAGAUUAUAUGGUCAAGUUUAUAGUACACAUCAUGCUUAAUCUUGGUGGACAUGUGAAUGAAUGAAGAAACUGCUUUGCAUACAUCCUGCGGUGAUUUCUUUGGUUUUUUGAAGUUUUAUUAUUCUUAAUGGAUUCUUAGUUGGUAAUCUAAGUUGAACAUCACAACUAGGUUGCAGAUUAGGAGUACUUGGUCACACCCACACAUCAAAUGGAUGAUCAUAAAUGAGUAAAAUGAACCCUAGUUGCAAAUUGGAGAGCUGAAUGCUUUUUGACUAAUUUUCAUGGAAUUGGCUUGUAAUGGUGAAAUCGGUAUCCCUAGUUCCAUGCCCAUUAUUUUUUAAUAACCUAUCAUUUAUCUUUAUCUUUCUUUCAUUUUUAAGUUAUUUAAGUUUUCAGUUGAAAAAUCUAAAUCCAGUUUGCAUUUUCAUUGUUUAGUUAGGUUUCACAUAAAGCUUGUAAUUUGUAGAGGUCUAAUUAGUCUCUGUGGUUCGACACCCUUACUUGUGCCAUUAUAUUAUCCUUAUAUUUUCACUUGAAAGGAACAUAACAACACGCCCCCACAUGUGGUGGCCGGCUGCCCCGACUCGCCGGAAAAUUCAACUAUUUCCAAAAAUUACCAAAUUUUAAAGGCAUGUAGAUCUCAAUGAUGGCAGUAAUUUUCAUACCUGUGGCCAAGGCCGAUUUGGCCGGGAAAAGCUCCAAUUUCCCUCGAACCCGCUUGAAACCCUAAAACGGGUGUGUUUCGAUCCGUCACCUCCAGUGCUCCGCUACGCCCAAACCUGUUUGGGCUUUGUUCCUAGCCUCUAGAGGAGUGUUUUGAUGAUGGCAAUUGAAGGAAAAUGUUUAACAUUUGGUGGAUCACCGUCGAGCUCACUUGGACCCGUUGGUGAGAUCCCUAGCAAAAUCAAGGCCAAACACGUCGGGUUUGGUUGAAAAUUGAUGGGAAAGUGGCAAGGGAAUGAUUUGGUAGUGGUGGAAAGCUUUUAUUUGCUCGGAAAACACCACGAGGGCGUCAGAAAUGGACGCGGCCAAACUGGGUCAGGUUGAAAGAAACGGGUCAAUAGGGAAGAAGUUUUGGUUGGGUGUCACUCCCUUAUCUCCUUUCCUUCCUUCUCUCCUCUCUCCCAUUGGUUCCCUCAUUUCUUCUCUUCUGCAACUCUUUUGCUACCAUCUAGCAGCUUUUAAUUGUUUCUUUGUUUUUUUUUAACACUUACUUAAUUUCAAACUUUCUAACAAUAUAGCUAAAAUUCUAAAAUUAAUGAAUUUAAAAUUAAAUUAAAAAUCACUUAAACGAAAAAUGAAUUUGAAUAAUGAAAUACGUAAUUAAUGAAUGGAAUUCCGAGAACGAGAUUUCACAUCUGGACUAUUUUCCGCAGUAAUAAAAUCAAACGAUCAUGCGUUUGACAACCAUUGGAACAUAAGCAAAUAAACACAUAUAAUACGCUACUAAGCCCAUAAGAAUGCUUACCCAAAAGACCAAAAACAUAUUUGGUUUCAAAAGUAUGUAGUUUUUUUGUUUUGAGUGCAUUUGGACUAUUGACACACCCCGAUCCUAGAAUCAAGGCGUGCUGGCCGUCACGUGAGUGUGACGUAACCAAAAGUGCGAUGCGGAAGCAAAAGAUAUGAGAAAUGCGAAGGAAUAAAAAACCAACUACUAGCAGUAAUAUCCAACUAGCAUGCUAGAGUGAGAUUAAGUGUGCAGUACACAAUUUCAGAGCAUAAAAGAAACUAGGUGCAGUCAAGUAGGACUAUAAUUAAAUUACAACACCCGUAGGUGAGUCCUACAUGCAGGAAGUCUGUCAGAACGCCGAAGAAAACCUCGUGAGCCACAAAUUGCUAACUAGAACCUGAAGGGGCGCAAAAACAAAAUUGAGUGGGUCAGUAAAACGAAAGUUUUCCAAAACAUUUCAUUAAAAACAUUUCUAACCCCUCACUGUAAAACCUGUAUACUUUCCCAGAAAAUAACAUAAUAGUAUAUAAAACCUCAUACGUCACAGAUCACCAAUCUAUCACAAAUCCAAGAAUAUGCCAUGCCAUAAAUGUCAAUAACAAAACAUGGAUGCAUCAAAAUAACAGGUGACAUAAAGAAUUAACCGGAGACCCUGCAGUUGGUCAUGUACGGUUAAUUCCAUAGCUCAAUAUCCAACCCAGCCGGAGUCACCACGGUGACCUGUACGGCACUACUUUGCACAUAAGUCGGAACUACCUGAAGUAGUCUGUACGACAAGAAUGGUGUAAUGAUACGCUCUAGUGCUUCUCUCAUCAAUCAUCUGCGCGCGUAAUCUAAGGUCACCUACUAGUCGAAACCACCUCUAGUGGUCUGUACGACUAGCAUGUCAGAACCCUCUCAUGGUCUGUACGACAUGCACCUACUUGGAUCCAAGGUGAGCGUGCGGUGCGGUGAAUAAUAUAAGCACUAACACCAGGGGUGCAGGUUAUGAGCUCUCAACACAAUUCACAUCAUCAAUGAUUCACAUCAUUAACAUAAAACUCACCUGAUACUCACCUGUGCGUCCACAACACCAAUUCACACAUAUAUAUGCAUCAAUAUCAAUUCAUAUAAUUCAUAGUAUGCAUGCAUGGCGUUUGAAAACAUACUUUCAUAUAAAUUCAAUUUCUGGGAAAAUCAAUAGUAUAUAGGUAUAUACUGAAAAUAAAACUACCCACUCACUGGUAAGUGAUCACUCAUAUAUUUCAUACAUUUAUACCAUCCAUUUCUAAAGUAUUUGUAAUGUUUUUGUGUGAAAAUUAUGGCAUUUUACCUUAUCUUGUGUUAAUGUACAGUUAAUUUUGUGUUAGCAUUGUUUUCACAGAAAUAAUGGAAUGAUAGAGGAAUAAAAGAAACAAAAGAAAAAGAAAAAAAAAUAUAAAGAAAGCAAGAAGUGGAGGACUAACGGAAAGCAGAGAAAAAAAAGAAACAGAAAAUAAAUGAAAUGGGAGACACGGACUGGUGGGAUAAAAGCAACAGAAAAUAGAAGAAUAGGCAAAAAGAGAGGGCAUGGCAGGCAAGGAAAUGUGGAGGAAUGGCAAAAGAAAUAAAAAUAAUAAUAAAGAAAUAAGGGAGUGGAAGGCAGCAAGCACAAGGGGGGAGACGGAAGGCAGGAAAUAUAAGGGAGUGGGGCAGCUUUAAUCAGAAAAGGACACGGACCGAGGAGAGAGGAGAGAAUAAGAGAAGGCAGGGCAGAGGUCAGAGGACAGCUGCCUGGCAGCUAAUGAGCAAAGCAGCAAGCUGCACAGAAAACGGGCAGGAAAUAAAAAGAGUGGAGGAUUGGGGGGGAUGUCAGAGGGAGAGAAGGUCAGACGGAGAGAUAGGAAAGAAACUGACACGGACGGGCAGGGAGCGUGAGAAUAGGCGCUGCCUUUGGCAGCGAGAAAGGUCAGCGAAAAUAAAAAGAAGCAGAAGGCUGCCUUUGGGCAGCGUGGGAAAGCGGGAAGGAUAGAAGCGGAAAGAGGAGAGACGGGCAGCGGGAGACUGACGCGGAAAGGAAAGCAGAACAGCUGCUUGGCAGCGUACGUGGGGAGAGAGGAAACGCAAAAAAGAGGGAAGUCAGGGAGGACGCCAGUGAAGAAAGCAGCAAGCUGUUCUCUCUCUCGGUUAAAUCUUUCCAAACUUAUAUUUUAUUUCUGUUUUAAUAAUGUGUAACUAAAUUUAUUUUGGCUAGAGGUUAAUUCAAAGCCAUGAAUAUAUUUGUAAUAUGAAUUGAUUACCUUCAGUUGUGAUUUCU